Mus musculus (house mouse) is the source of this 1741-nucleotide long non-coding RNA. RefSeq annotates it as predicted gene, 39474. The transcript has 2 exons. The record is from RefSeq and is a predicted model, not a curated record. NCBI's taxonomy places the organism in Eukaryota, Metazoa, Chordata, Mammalia, Rodentia, Muridae.
AACUCAGAAAUCUACCCGCUUCUGCCUCCCAAGUGCUGGGAUUAAAGGUGUGCGCCACCACCACCCGCCUCUGCCAAAUCUUUUCUAAGGCAGGGUUUUGCUGUUUAGGCUAGUUUGGCCUCAAAUUUGUGACCCUCCUGCCCUAUCCUUCUGAAUUAGCCACCACACCCAGCUUGGGCUCUAAGGAUUUUAAGAAUGUUUUCUUUGAUUUAACUGGGAUCAUACACACCUCUUUCAAAAAUGCCGCAAUUAUUUCCCCUACUCAAUGUCAGCACCUAGAAAGGCCGGGAUUCUUUCCCUACCACAGAGCCUGGACCAAAGACCCCAGGGAGCUUACAAGCCCAGGCCCUCCCUGACAGCUGGCAGCAGGCUGCUUGCCCCUUCUUGUUCCAGGUCAUCCGUCCCUGCCUGUUUUCAAUGGAAGGUCUGCCAGGGACAGCAAAUGGAGACACCUCUAUCCACGGGAACUGCAGGAGUGGAAGAAAAAUAAACAAGGAAGAACGUUCCAGAGCUAUGGAGGCAAAGUGUGGACAGAGGACAGCGGCAUGUGGGGAGCUCACACACCAAGGGCAAAUGGACAGAGGCACACUGGAGCCACUGGGUACAGUGCUGUCAGAGGACUGCCACAGUUAGUCUGAUGGUUUCUAGGACAGCAGCUCCCCCUUCUGUGGAGUGAUCACAGCACAUAAGGCCAGACUGCUUACUGAGGUCUGCAUCUGGCUGUCACUGCCUUCCCUCCCAGCUUUCACGCACCACAGCAUGCCUGCCUGCCCGCCCUCUCCGAGCCCUCACCUUUAUGCCUGCUCCUCUCACCACACUGUGGCUCCAAGCACAGGCCUCGCCAUUCUGUAGUCAACGACAUCGGCUGACCAGCCUGGGAAGUGAGUAGAGGCACCUGAUGCUACCAAUCGCAGGCACCCAGCACUACUUUAACCCUCAUCAAACGAAAGAGGCAGAUUUCAUGAUGAUGCUCAUUUCCCAGAGAAGAGAAACCGAGGCUCUGGUCUGGUGUUGUGAAGUCAUCCAUGGUAAAAGGCCUACUGAAGUGUUGAGAGACACACCAGAGGUUGGGCAUUGUGGCUUGUGCUUGGGAGGCUAAGGCAGGAGGAUCACAGAGAAUCUGAGAGGAGCCUGGAAUACCGGGCAUUGCAGGCCAGCCUGGGCUUCAGCCUGUGAGACUCUCUCAAAAACAAAACAGCUGGGAGUAGUGGUGCACACCUUCAAUCCCAGCAGAGGCAGACAGACCUGCUGUACAGAUGAGUUCCAGAACAGCCAGGGCUACAGAUACAGGCUGUCUUGCAGGACACACACACACACACACACACACACACACACACACACACACAGUAGAACAGAGCAACUGUUUUAGCAAACUACCAAUUGAGUUUCUGAGUGUUCACGUAGUUGCAUGCAUGUGUGUGUUGCCUGCACGUGUGUACAUGGAAGUCAGAGAUAGGAGUCUGGGACCCUCCUACAUUGCUUUCCACCUGAUUGUCUGAGAUAAGGUCUUUCAUUGAACCUGGAGCUCUAAGGCUCUCAGUCUACAUCCUGCCCUAUGCUGAAGUCAAAGAGUCUGCAUCUCAGUUUAACUUCUAAUACCAAUAUAUACAAUGAACAGAAGCUCCUUGGGAUCUGCAUUUCUAAGUUGUCUCAUGAAACCAAAUGUUUUGAGAACCUCUACAUAACCAGUUAAAAUUAGAUCCUUAAAAGUAGAGAGCGCCAUCUAGUGGGUAGACGGCCA